RNAcentral lists this ribosomal RNA (430 nucleotides) under uncultured archaeon. RNAcentral's name for it is "bacterial SSU rRNA". It matches the Rfam family "Archaeal small subunit ribosomal RNA", at positions 474 to 903 of the family's 1478-position model. The record is from RNAcentral.
UACCUGCAGCUCGAGUGGUAACCGCUAUUAUUGGGCCUAAAGCGUCCGUAGCCGGUUUGGUAAAUAUCUGGGUAAAUCGUGAGGCUUAACUUCACGAAUUUCGGAUAGACUGCCAGACUUGGGAUCGGGGGAGGUCAGAGGUACUCCAGGGGUAGCGGUGAAAUGUUGUAAUCCUUGGAGGACCACCGGUAGCGAAGGCGUCUGACUAGGAACGAGUCCGACGGUGAGGGACGAAGCCCUGGGGCGCAAACCGGAUUAGAUACCCGGGUAGUCCAGGGUGUAAACGAUGUGGGCUUUGUAUUGGAGGUCCCACGUGGGCGUCCAGUGCAGAAGAGAAGUUGUUAAGCCCACCGCCUGGGAAGUACGGUCGCAAGGCUGAAACUUAAAGGAAUUGGCGGGGGAGCACAGCAACGGGAGGAGCGUGCGGUUU